CAGCAGUCGCACUCGGGAAAGCACCCAGAGGCCCAUCAACGGGUGCACAAGCGACGAGCUAGUCCUGCCAGGGGAGAAAGCGACAAAGUGAACAAUAAGGAAGUGUGUGCACUCCACGGUCCCGCUGGACGGUCUUCUCAGCAACAUACAACUAGAGAAGGGGACGCUGGGGAGCACUCCGGGCACCUGCCCUGGGGACGGUGUGGAGCACUUGGGGCACCUGCACCCUGGGGAAGGUCGGGGAGCACCUGGAGCAUGUGAACCCUGGGAAGGUUAAGAGGUGCCCGGAAGAGGAGCCCAUCGUGCCAGAAGUGUCCAGUGUCGACCGCGGUGAACACGCAACCUUGCCAGGGCGCUCCACGUACUGACCUGGUGGAUGGUGAAAUGGGCGAAGCCCCGCGUUGGCCGGGCUGACGGGGCAGGUGUGAUCCCGCACCCUGGUCGUGCCGAGCCUCGUCCGGGCUUCAGGAGGGAGCCCUGGGAGUGAGAAGUCUGUGCAGAAGUUUUCACGGAUGUUUCUCCCGGAAAUCGCGACUUCGGAGAAAUGACCCCAAGAGAACUGCAGCUGUACCAACACGUCCUUCAAGUUAUUUACCGCCGUAAAGACGGUUGAGAGUCCGACGGGUUAACAAAAGACGCCCAGCCCGGCACGCUCCGGAAUACCGCCUCGGUGAAAUGCGGCUCAGCUGCCAAAGUGACAAGCAGGUGGCCACGUCAAACCACGUGCGAAUUCAUGGGAAAGAGCAGGCCGCCUUGCAAAUGCUCAUCAACGGACAAAAACCAGGAGAGCUUACUUGAAAAGAUUAGAACGGAGAUCAGAUUCUGUGCCAAGGACGCGGGGGCACCGUUUGCUUGCAAAGUCCCGGGCAGGAUGAGGUGGCUCCCACUGUAUGUGCCGCUGUCACCUGCCUCCUUCCUCCCUGGGGACCACCGCAUCCCCCAUGGCGAGCCAGACACACAGCAACACCAGCCUGGCAGAGAGGCCACUGGUGUACGUCUGGGUCACUCCAGGGGGAGAGAAGCUGCGUGGGGUGGCGCCCGGCUGGCCCCUCCCCCAUGGGUAAACUGAGGCUCGGUGGUCAGGAAGUGGCAAGUGGGACUCCUGCGGGCCGUUGCCUGUUAGCCUCUUGUGUUCACCAGGCCUCUCCAGAGCAUCAAAACCGCCAGGACGGGAUGUGUAGAAACAAGAGCUUUGUCACAGGGACCGGGUGCGGAGGAUUUCAGCGGCUGCUGAGGGCCACCGGCCGGGGGGAGACCUGGCAGGGCCGAAGGUGCAUUCCGGUCUGAAGGCGGGAGAAUCCCCCUUGCCGGGGAGGCUGGUCUUUUGUUCCAUUCCUCCCUUCACCUGAUUGGGUGAGGCCCCUGCAUUGCGGAAGGCCACCUGCUUUAUCCAGACUCCUGUGAUGUGUGUUAAUCUCAUCCAGAAACAUCCUCCCGGUUGACACAAAAAAGUAACCAUCCCGGGCCGGCCUCCCCUCUCCUGUGUGGAGGCACCUGUGGAAUAAGCCCCCAAGAUGACCACCCACCAGUGCCCUCUGCCGACCCUGCCCGAGGGCUGCCCGCCCCCCGGCAGGCCACCCCAGCCCGUGGGGUCUCUUUCUUCCUUAUGUCAAAGCUCAGAUAAAAUCAGAGGCCCCGCCCCCCCGUUGGCCCUAAGAAGGUCUCGUCUCCCCACGACCCCUCUCUGGGAGUGCAGGACACCGCUUUGAAUCUGAAUUUCAGGGGAACGACAAAUACCCCUUUAGUGUAUGUUCCGUGCAGUAUUUGGGGUUCACAUAUACUAAAAACAGCAUCCGUGGUUCACCUGUGAUUCAGAUUUAGCUGGAGAGCCUGCAUUUUUAUGUGGCACCCUCAGCCGGCUGUCCCUGGACCGGCUGUCGCCAUCACCACCUGGCCCAGACCUCCCUCGAGCCCCAGGCCCCCCUGCCCUCUGUGGCUCUCCCUGGGGAGGGACAUCCUCGUCCGGGGUCAGCUCCAGCCCUCCCCGAGGCACACGGUCCGCUUACUGGCCUGAAGGGGGCUCAGAAAAAUCUCAGCUUUUGGAAAUCCGUAUUGAAAUCCCAAAUCUGGCCUGGCCGGAGGAGGCGUGGGGCAGGUUUCCUUCCUGGGAGCGGGAAGGGCACCCCGUUCUCACAUGCACGUGGCCGUGGGGAGCCAGACCCCGGCGACAGCUGGGGCUGCACCGUGCCCCCUGCUCUGUGAUCUUGGGCAAAGAUCACCGAGAGUUGAAACAUGAAAGACAGAAGCAGCAGAGUACCAAACCAAGGGUGGGCCCCUGAGCUCGGGCAGUGGCCCGGCUCCACGUCCCUCCCCGGCCCUCGCUCUCCUGGAGCCCGUGGCCAUGGGUGACGCAAUAGGCCUGGCCUGGCGCUCACCCCACAGGCCUUCCCAGCAAAGGCUGCAGCACGUGGCCAUCGUUUUACACGCAGAUUGCGAGGGCGUGUGUCCUGUGGCGCCCAGGGAGGCAGGAGGCCCCCGCCGGGCAGGGCUGGGGCUCUAGACACGGGAGCUGAGUGAGCGCGGGCCCCGAGGAGGUGUCCCCAGUGCACCCCGCACGUCCACGAGGCCAGUGCAGUGACCAGGGCGCCGGCCUGCGUGGCUUCGCACGGGGUGGGACGGGGUGGGACCCAGUCCCCGCACCGCUGGUUCCUCCCCGAAACCGACCCCCGCCGCAUUCCUGGCUAAACCGAGGCCAGAAGAGGCAGCGGGUCCCUGCAGAGGAGGGGCGCCCUCCGGCUCGGCGACCCGGGACCCGAGGGCACAUCCCACCGCGCUGGCCGAGUGAACCGUCCCCCCCACAAACACGCAGACGCCUUCAGGCCUUUGGUAAAGAGCAUCA
Molecule: long non-coding RNA, 2839 nt
Organism: Prionailurus viverrinus (fishing cat)
Lineage: Eukaryota; Metazoa; Chordata; Mammalia; Carnivora; Felidae
Exons: 4
Source: RefSeq, a predicted model, not a curated record